GCGCACAGCCGGUCACAACAAGCUGCAAGCAAGCACCCACAUUUUCUUCAUGGCCGAGCGAGUGGUGCAAAGCUUUUAGGACAUACAUAUUGAUUGGGAGAAACGGACUAACACCGACAUGCUUCGUAAGGACAGGAGGAGGAAGCAGCGACAGAAAGAGCUACAUGAGGCAGCUAAAGGCAGUGGGUCCCUCACCAGCUGGAUAAAAAAAAAGAGUACAGUCUGAGAUCAACACAGCCUUGCCCUCCAGCAUCAUCAGCAGCAGCAAGAGGAGCGACCCUGCAACAGCUACACUGUACCCCAUCAUCAGGUAAAAUAGGACAGCAAUAGAUCAGGAGGUGGAGCAGGUUGUCCAGUAAUAAGAAGGUUGCAGGUUUGAGCCUGACUUCAAUCAGAGAUUGAUGCUGUUGAGUCCUUGGGCAAGACACUUAACCUGCUUUGCCUGCUGGUGGGGGUCGGAGGGACCGGUGGCGCCUGUGCUCAGCAGCUUCACCUCUGUCAGUGCGCUCCAGAGCAGCUAUGGCUACAUCAUAGCUCAUCGCCAUCAGUGUGUUAAUGUGUGUGUGUGAAUGACUGAUUGUGUUGUAAUGUGCCUUGGGGGGCUGUAGAACCCUAAGAAGGCAUUAUACAAAUACAGACCAUUUACCUAAACAAGUUACUUUUGCUUUACAUUGUCCUUAUGGUGUAUAUAAUGAUUCGCUUCCAUUUUGAAUUUCUA
Non-coding RNA from Nothobranchius furzeri (turquoise killifish), 718 nucleotides. The record is from RefSeq and is a predicted model, not a curated record. Lineage: Eukaryota; Metazoa; Chordata; Actinopteri; Cyprinodontiformes; Nothobranchiidae.